GAAACUCAAAGGAAUUGACGGGUCCCCGCACAAGCAGCGGAGCGUGUGGUUUAAUUCGAUGCUACACGAAGAACCUUACCUGGGUUUGACAUAGAGGUAGUAGGGAAGCGAAAGCGGACCGACCCUUCGGGGAGCCUCUACAGGUGUUGCAUGGCUGUCGUCAGCUCGUGUCGUGAGAUGUUCGGUUAAGUCCGCUAACGAGCGCAACCCUCGCUGUGUGUUACAAGUGUCACACAGUACUGCCGAUAUUAAGUCGGAGGAAGGUGGGGAUGACGUCAAGUCAGCAUGACCUUUAUAUCCAGGGCUACACACACGCUACAAUGGCCAGUACAAUGGGUUGCCAAGCCGCGAGGCGGAGCCAAUCCUAAAAAGCUGGCCUCAGUUCAGAUUGCAGUCUGCAACUCGACUGCAUGAAGUUGGAGUUGCUAGUAACCGCAGGUCAGCAAUACUGCGGUGAAUACGUUCCCGGGGAUU
Molecule: ribosomal RNA, 474 nt
Filed under: uncultured Anaerolineaceae bacterium
Lineage: Bacteria; Bacillati; Chloroflexota; Anaerolineae; Anaerolineales; Anaerolineaceae
Description: bacterial SSU rRNA
Rfam family: Bacterial small subunit ribosomal RNA
Source: RNAcentral